GGGCGAUUGGCGCAGUUGGCUAGCGCGCUUCCCUGACACGGAAGAGGUCAGCAGUUCAAAUCUGCUAUCGCCCA
Molecule: transfer RNA, 74 nt
Filed under: Propioniferax innocua
Lineage: Bacteria; Bacillati; Actinomycetota; Actinomycetes; Propionibacteriales; Propionibacteriaceae
Rfam family: tRNA
About the family: Transfer RNA (tRNA) molecules are approximately 80 nucleotides in length. Their secondary structure includes four short double-helical elements and three loops (D, anti-codon, and T loops). Further hydrogen bonds mediate the characteristic L-shaped molecular structure. tRNAs have two regions of fundamental functional importance: the anti-codon, which is responsible for specific mRNA codon recognition, and the 3' end, to which the tRNAs corresponding amino acid is attached (by aminoacyl-tRNA synthetases). tRNAs cope with the degeneracy of the genetic code in two manners: having more than one tRNA (with a specific anti-codon) for a particular amino acid; and 'wobble' base-pairing, i.e. permitting non-standard base-pairing at the 3rd anti-codon position.
Source: Rfam by way of RNAcentral